This 253-nucleotide ribosomal RNA is filed under the name uncultured bacterium. RNAcentral's name for it is "partial 16S ribosomal RNA". It matches the Rfam family "Archaeal small subunit ribosomal RNA", at positions 474 to 727 of the family's 1478-position model. The record is from RNAcentral.
UACCAGCACCCCGAGUGGUCAGGACGAUUAUUGGGCCUAAAGCAUCCGUAGCCGGUUUUACAAGUCCUCCGUUAAAUCCAGCUGCUUAACAGAUGGGCUGCGGAGGAUACUAUAAGACUAGGAGGCAGGAGAGGCAAGCGGUACUCAGUGGGUAGGGGUAAAAUCCGUUGAUCCAUUGAAGACCACCAGUGGCGAAGGCGGCUUGCCAGAAUGCGCUCGACGGUGAGGGAUGAAAGCUGGGGGAGCAAACCGG